RNAcentral lists this ribosomal RNA (253 nucleotides) under uncultured bacterium. RNAcentral's name for it is "partial 16S ribosomal RNA". It matches the Rfam family "Bacterial small subunit ribosomal RNA", at positions 524 to 776 of the family's 1533-position model. The record is from RNAcentral.
GACGAACCGUGCGAACGUUAUUCGGAAUCAUUGGGCUUAAAGCGCGUGUAGGCGGCUCGGUAAGUCUGCUGUGAAAGUCCAGGGCUCAACCCUGGGAUGCCGGUGGAUACUGUCGAGCUCGAGUCCGGAAGAGGCGAGUGGAAUUCCUGGUGUAGCGGUGAAAUGCGCAGAUAUCAGGAGGAACACCAAUGGCGAAGGCAGCUCGCUGGGACGUGACUGACGCUGAGACGCGAAAGCGUGGGGAGCAAACAGG